This 429-nucleotide ribosomal RNA is filed under the name Acidobacteriota bacterium. RNAcentral's name for it is "Acidobacteria bacterium partial 16S ribosomal RNA". It matches the Rfam family "Bacterial small subunit ribosomal RNA", at positions 355 to 776 of the family's 1533-position model. Lineage: Bacteria; Pseudomonadati; Acidobacteriota. The record is from RNAcentral.
UGGGGAAUUUUGGACAAUGGGGGAAACCCUGAUCCAGCCAUCCCGCGUGUGCGAUGAAGGCCUUCGGGUUGUAAAGCACUUUUGGCAGGAAAGAAACGUCAUGGGUUAAUACCCCGUGAAACUGACGGUACCUGCAGAAUAAGCACCGGCUAACUACGUGCAAGCAGCCGCGGUAAUACGUAGGGUGCAAGCGUUAAUCGGAUUUACUGGGCGUAAAGCGUGCGCAGGCGGUUCGGAAAGAAAGAUGUGAAAUCCCAGAGCUCAACUUUGGAACUGCAUUUUUAACUACCAGGCUAGAGUGUGUCAGAGGGAGGUGGAAUUCCGCGUGUAGCAGUGAAAUGCGUAGAUAUGCGGGGGAACACCGAUGGAGAAGGCAGCCUCCUGGGAUAACACUGACGCUCAUGCACGAAAGCGUGGGGAGCAAACAGG